GCACCCACGGACGAAAUGAACGCGGAGCACGGACAGAAGGCUCCGUCCGUAUGCGGAUCCGUAUUUAACGUUGAGCAUACAUGGGCCUUCAAGUUCGCUCCUGUUCCAAAAGCAGAAAUGAGUGUACUCCCGUCCGAACUUGCCACGUCCACAAGUCCAAACUGCUGAACUUGUGUAUUGCGAAACGGCUUCUGUGUCUUGGGACCGUUUGGAACCCACUUUGAUUUUAGCGGAACGGAAGCCACAUUUUUUACUUUUGCAGUCCGGACGAUUUACGAGGGUGCACAAAUGACUAAUGGGGACGAGCGUAAAGUGGUUCCUCCUGCAGCUGCUACGGGAGAGUCUCCCCAGGUGUUGGGAAGCAGAUUACUGCCCUGCUGUUCUAUACCAUGAAUGAUGAGCCAUGGACCAGAUCACUUUCCAGCAUGAUACUGUGCUGUCUGAUAUUCACAUGCUUCUGCCCAACGAACACCACCUUAUGACACGCCUCAAUGGUGUUGGACAGCCCGUCUUCAUCUCUAAAUUCAAGAUCAUGUCAGAUGGUGAAAGGCAUGACAGAAAUGAUCCAGGGAAAGGUUUGAAGGAGGUGGAGGAAUACGAUAAAAAAAAGGAAGAUGGGGGAAAAGAUACAAAAGUCGCACAAGGAAAAGAUGGAGAGGAAUGCGGGAAAGGAAAUGUGGAACCAUUUUUGGAUGAGGACGGAGACCUUGACAUCAUGCAUCGCCCGAGGACAAACCCUAAGGAGGACAGUGGCCGAGAUGUGGUCUGUCCUGUCAUUCUCCAACAGUCCAACCCUGUCCUGGAACAAGAAGAGGGGGAUACGGAUGAUGAAGAUGAUAAGCCUUUAAACAACAUUAUAAAGAUUGAGCACACUAUGGCCACACCCCUGGAGGAUGUUGGCAAACAGGUGUGGCGAGGGGCAUUCUUCUUGGCUGACUUUAUCGUCUCUAAACCACACAUAUUCAGAGGAGCCACAGUCCUGGAGCUGGGAGCGGGAACCGGCUUAACCAGCAUCAUUAUGGCAACCAUAGCCAAAACAGUGUACUGCACAGAUGUGGGAGAAGACCUUUUAAGCAUGUGCAAGAAAAAUGUGACAUUAAAUAGACACAUGAUGGAGCCUGCAGGUGGUAAUGUGAGAGUGAAACAGUUGGAUUGGCUCCAGUGUGACCUCUGUACAGUUUGCUAUGAUGAUGAUCUGACAGAUGGCCUUUUCCGAACACUGUACCGACUCUGCUGUAGCUUUUCUCACACCUGCACGAUCUUCAUCUCCAUAGAGAAAAGGAUGAACUUCACCCUGCGACACAUGGAUGUUUCCUGUGAUGCCUACAACCAUUUCCGCCACUGUCUGUUCCAACUCCAGGACCAGGUGGAUGGACGAUGCAGCUUUCGAGUGGAACAGCUCCCUUCUAACUUCGCUCAGUUUCUUCUGUAUGAACGCAUAGAGCAACUGUUUUCAACUUUAGACGCUUGCUGUAGCGCCACCAUCAGGACUAUUGGCUUGAGUUUACAGCUGAGGAUAUCUGGCAUGAGACUGGACCUUUGUGCCAAGUUUGGUGAGUUUUCACCCAUGGGAAGUAUGAUUUCCUCUGAAGAAGAAAGAAGAAAGAAGAAGAAGAAUACCUAGGAUUACAAUAGUGUCCUGGCAGCUUAGCUGCCCGGACCCUAACAAGAAGCUGCUGCAACCAUCCUGAGCUGUGGAAGGUGACCGCCACUCCACUUCCAGUGUGAUUCUGUCCUGUUCUCAUCUCAACAUGGACUCAUAGCCCAGCAGUGUGAACACGGCAUUCUCCCCACGAGUUACUCUACAAAACUCCGGUUAACUGUUGAAGGUUUGAAAAGUGAAAGAUAAAAACUCAAGGCAACAUCAUGUGUUCCUGUGUCAGUAUAAUAAUAUCAUUUGGUAAAUUAAAGAUAGAAACAGGCAAUUUAACAUGUAGAAUUCAUCAAGAUGAUUUAAAAAUGGGUCACUGAUUCACCGCAUGAAUGUAGCAUAAUUUAUUUUUUAAUCUCAUUCAUGCAUUCUUACAGAUGGUUAUCUGUUAUCUGUUGAAGCUAUUUAGAGGAAAUUAAAGUUCUUUAACUUUGUUAAUGGAAAGUCAGCCAGAGCUGCAUGUCUUCGUGUUUGGACACUAUGUUUGAUUAAAAACAAGGUUUAAAUAAAGUUUUGCAGUACAACCAUGUGCUCAGAAUUUGUAUUUUGGCUGCAUGCUGUUUAAAGCAUUUAAAUGUAUUGAUUUAUUUUCGUGGCAACACAGAACGCUGCAUAAAUAGGACGAGUUGCUAUUUUAACAUACAUUUGACCACAGAUUCAGAUCAAGAAGUUGCCAAAACCUGCAGUUCCUUUAAUGACCAUUUGAGGCUGGCUCCAGAAGCCAUCAAUCCCCACAGACCCCUGUGUUAAAAUGCCCAGCUUUACAGCAGAAAUAAAUAUGUUUACAGCCUUGUACAAAAAACACUUUUGGUCUCUAUAAUUUCCCCGUUCAUGACAACUGUACAGGGGUGAAUUUUUAUGUAACUCACCUGUUUAUCUUUUAUAAAGCCUAAAUUUACUUAUAUUAAGGGGAAGGCUGUUUGAGUGACAGGCUGUGUGCAGGCGUAGCUACAGUCUACAAGUCAGAUCCACCCUCUCGUCCAAAAAUGAGACUUCUGGCCAGAGUCCUGCAUGGGUCCAGAACGCUGCAUAAAUAGGACGAGUUGCUAUUUUAACAUACAUUUGACAUGCUUGACAAAGAAACUCCAUCGCAAUAUUUAUCAAAUCAAAUUAUGUUUUGUCAGUUCUGUGAGUUGAAUGUACUGUUAGGCAAUUAGUGAUUUAAUCCAUAUCUCAAAAAUAAUGACAAAAGCCCAUGAGUACUGUGGCUUUUGAUGUCUAUUUACGUAUGUCUUUCAAUGGAAAGACAUAAAUAGACAUCAAAAGCCACAGUACUGAAACUGUCUGAGACAGAAAAAAGCCUCACAAAAAACAUUGAGGUUGUAACUAUUUUUACUUCUUAAAGGGUGAUUAAUUUCAUUUAAAUCAAUUAAAUAUUUGGACAUGAUCAGUUAUGAUCACUAAUAUGAGAACAGACUAAUUCAUGAAUGGGAAUAGACCUUUUUCACAGCUGAUAUUUUAACCUGUAAUAGGAAAGGAAAGGAGAGGUGUAUUUAGUAAUAUUAAUGAUAGGUGUAUUCAAUUUAGUGCAGGUCCUGGCAUGCUGGCACACUAGAAAAGUUAUAUGGCAGACUAAAGCCCAGUUCGGACCAAUGAUUUCUGACAAGACGUUUUAGAACGUUGCAGAGAAAAGUUGCAGUGGAACUGGCCGGUCAGAGCUCGACUCAAGCCGGCUGAUGGUGUCACCAGCAACUCAGCUGGUCAAAUAGCCGGUGAAUGGUUUUAAAACUCCUCCACAGCCAAACCCUCUUGUCCAAAAAUGAGAUUUCUGGCCAGAGUCCUACAUGGGUCCAUUUUUGAAAACUUGUAUCCACCCAUGCCCGUAAAGCUCAGUACCGUUACUUGUUGUUUUGUCUAAGUCAAAGCUGCACUUGUCCACACCUGUGAUUAAACACACACAGGCUACAGUUACUUACAUUAAGCGGGGUUCUCCGUUCUUGAAUUCCAGCGGAGGAAAAGUCUCUUUCACUGGCUGUGUGUGAUGCUGGUAUGGUGAAAACAUUCGAUCACUGCCAGGUUAGGAAACAUUUUAGCAUGCUCCUUCCAUCACCAUAAAACCUCAAAAGGAUCCUCUUGGGUGUCUUAAGCUCGAUGUAGGCUGCCACCUCAUCCUCAGGCUGCAAAGUUUCAUUGCAAGAGUCCUCCAUGUUGGUGACGAAUGUGACAACGGGGUCAAAGAUUCGAAAUGUGUCAUUGACUUUCAAAAUAAAUGAAUGAAAAUGAAACGAAUUGCAGCUUGAUAAUGAUUUACAUGAUGAUUUAGAUGUCACAAUAUUACACAUAUACUGCACAUCUUUUUCAUUUGUUUUAUUCUGAAAAACAAAAAAUGUGUGAUGUUCAUUUGUACCCAUGCCCAUAAUAAAAUAUAUAUAUGUAUGUAUAUAUACAUACAAAUAUAUACAUAUAUAUACAUAUACAUAUAUACAUAUAUAUGUAUGUAUAUAUAUAUAUAUAUGUGUGUGUAUGUAUAUAUAUAUAUAUAUAUAUAUAUAUAUAUUAUUUUUAUUUUUUUACCCAUUACACAGCUUUUUGAGGGUGAUGAGGGUGACCCGGUGUAGGACUCUGCUUCUUGAUCCAAAAAAACAAGAUGGCCAGAAUGCCAGACUUGACGCUUCAAAACAGGAGUCCCUAAACCAGUGGGUGAGGUCAUGUUGGCUGGGAUGCUGGCACUUCAUACAUAAACUGUAGGCUGUUAGGGCUGGACAAUAUGGUAAGAAAUAUUGCGAUUAUUUUUACAGAUUGGACUAUAUUGAUAUUCAUCAUAUUAUAUAAUUUGAUAAUGCUGACAGUUUGACGAGUAUCAUGAUAAUCUUAAAUCUGCCUUUAAACUGUAUAAAUUAGCUUGUCUUGUAACAUAUUAAAAUAAUGUGGUCACUGGGAUGGUACCUUUUGGGGUGAUGGAGGUCACCUAGAAUUCAUAGAAUCGAAGCUAUAUCCUUAACUAUGAUUUUGUGUGUUUUCCAUCUUGGUUUGCCUUUGGAGGUGACCAUAUUUGGAUGAGGGGGUGGAGCUGUGGAGAUGCAAAGGAUGGAUCUGACUGAGAGCCUGAGGUUAUGCCUCACAGACAUUCUGCCACUCAAAGUUGUGCAAAAGUAAGGGAAUAGGCCUUAAUAAAAUGUAAAAAGGUAAAGUAUAUAAAAUGCACCCCCUGUACAGUUGUCAUGAAUGCUGAACUUGGAAAUUAGCUAUAGAGAGCAGGUCAUUUGUGAGUGAUUUGAGGUUUGUAUGAUUUCAUGUGACAAAUAAAUUGACUGGAAUAUUUUACUUCCUGUGCCCUCAGUUUGGAUUGGAAUGGGUAUAUUUGCCCAUCAGAUGCUCCGUGGUUUGUGUCAUAGUGGUGCUUCUUAUUACUGCUUUAAAUUGUCACCACAUAUGAUGAGACGCACUGGUUUUGAACUGGAAAGGAAGUGAAAUGUAAGAGUCCAUUCAUUCCUGGUUAAAAGCUGUGUUUAUACUGUCAAACAUUACUUUUGUGUCUUUGGAAAAGCAAUGUGAAAUUACUUUUCUCUGAUUCACUUAUUUCUCCAACUGUUGUCUCGACUCUGAUCUUGUCUCUCUCCUGCAUAUGUAUCUCACACACUCAAGCCGCAGUGCUUUUUGGAAUGCACAGAUUUGAUUGGUUGAGUAGCAUUAUGAGAUGAUAUAACAAAUGCAAUUGUUCUGUGAGUUUCAUGGUCCGUCAAACCAAUGCUACAGUGCUGCACCGGUUAAAAUAGAAA
RNA transcript from Epinephelus moara (kelp grouper), 5370 nucleotides. It is a transcript of the gene named methyltransferase 22, Kin17 lysine, with no coding region annotated. NCBI's taxonomy places the organism in Eukaryota, Metazoa, Chordata, Actinopteri, Perciformes, Serranidae. The record is from RefSeq and is a predicted model, not a curated record. The transcript is spliced from 12 exons.